GACGAACGCUGGCGGCGUGCCUAAUACAUGCAAGUCGAACGCAGUGGGGACGGGUGAGUAACACGUGGGUAACCUCCCAUCAGAGGGGAUAACAAUUGGAAAAAGGUGCAAAACCGAUACUGAUGGAUGAACCCGCGGUGCAUUAGCUAGUUGGUGAGGUAACGGCUCAACAAGGCAACGAUGCAUAGCGGACCUGAGAGGGGGAACGACCACACUGGGACUGAGACGCGGCCAAGGCUCCUACAGGACGCAGCAGUAGGGAAUCUUCGUCAAUUGACGAAAGUCUGACCGAGCAACGCCGCUUGAGUGAAGAAGGUUUUCGGAUCGUAAAACUCUGUUGUUAGAGAAGCGGUAUCUAACCAGAAAGCCACGGCUAACUACGUGCCAGCAGCCGCGGGAAUAG
RNAcentral lists this ribosomal RNA (403 nucleotides) under uncultured bacterium. RNAcentral describes it as "partial 16S ribosomal RNA". It matches the Rfam family "Bacterial small subunit ribosomal RNA", at positions 28 to 526 of the family's 1533-position model. The record is from RNAcentral.